RNAcentral lists this transfer RNA (53 nucleotides) under Batracomorphus extentus. RNAcentral's name for it is "tRNA-Gly". Lineage: Eukaryota; Metazoa; Arthropoda; Insecta; Hemiptera; Cicadellidae. The record is from RNAcentral.
AUUCAUUUAGUAUAAAAAAGUAUAUAAAGCCUCCAACUUUAUGGUUUAAAAUA